RNAcentral lists this ribosomal RNA (113 nucleotides) under Mucochytrium quahogii. RNAcentral describes it as "labyrinthulid quahog parasite QPX partial Eukaryotic large subunit ribosomal RNA". The record is from RNAcentral. Lineage: Eukaryota; Bigyra; Thraustochytrida; Thraustochytriidae.
CCCUAAAAUACUUUCUUUUGACUCGUCUUGUAACACGAUCCAAGGAGGCAAACAAGAAGGAGAGGAAGUUGGAGAGGAGGAAAGCCAAAGUCCGAAAUGAAAGUGAGUGGGAG